Molecule: long non-coding RNA, 3199 nt
Filed under: Sus scrofa (pig)
Lineage: Eukaryota; Metazoa; Chordata; Mammalia; Artiodactyla; Suidae
Description: lncRNA (ENSSSCG00000053062.1)
Source: RNAcentral
AAUCUAAUAUAUAAUGUUGAGUAGGUAUCUUCUGCAGACCUAUCAGAUGCCAUUUCUGUGACCUGACUUGGCACUAGACCUGAGAAGAGAUCAGUGCCUGGGAAAUUGAAGAAAAUGGGAAGAUAUCUCAGAGAUAUCUCUUUGACCUCCAUCAUCUGACCCUUUCUACUUGUGGCAGCUCACACUUCCUGAAUAUUUGAAAUAGAUAAUGGUGAUUAGGACAUAAUUAAAGCCUAUUGAAACUUAGUUUUCUUUCUUCCAAGAGGCUCUCAGCCAAUCAUGAUGAAAACCUACUAGUCUUCAGAGAGACCUAAAGAUGUACAUCUGAAUCCUACACUCCUGGAAUUCCCUUCAUGGCCCAGUGGAAAUAAAUCUGACUCGUAUCCACUAGGUCACGGGUUCCAUCCCUGGCCUCACUCAGUGGAUUAAGGAUUGGGCAUUGCCAUGAGCUGUGGUGUAGGCUGCAGACUCAGCUCAGAUCCCACAUAGCCCUGGCUGUGGUGUAGGCCGGCAAUUGAGGCUUGGGCUGGCAGCUGAGGCUCUGAUUCAUCCUCUAGCCUGGAAACUUCCAUAUGCCACAGGUGCACCCGUAAAAAAACUAACUAACUAAACAACUCCUACACUCCUGUUAAACAUGUAGGCAAGAUCCUCUUUCCACACUUUUGGGUUCUGCCCAUCAUUUUAAGUCUUCAUUUGUCCUGAAGUUAGAAGUUGUAUUUUAAAAACACACCUCACGUUUAUGUUUUACAGAUAGUGAGGCAAUUGAUCCCUACAGUGUCCUGUGUAUUUUUAAUGCAGAUGCUUAAUUGCUCUCACCUUUUGUUUCCUUACCCGUGAGUUGGGGGCCUUGACAGUCUCCAUGGGGACAUGCUUUGUAAAGGGUUAGGCAAGCAUUUAGUGAAUGCUGUUAAAGCUGAUUUCACAGCUGGAUCCCAGAGAUGGUGCCUGAAAGUUGCACUGUUUUCCUACAUAAAAUCAAUUGAUUACUUCACACGUUUCUCAGCUUGCAAUUAUUAGAAUUCCUCUGUAGUGCAAGAUGUUGUCCUGCUUAGAAGAAAGAAACAGAAAACAUUUCUAAGAGGAAAACGCAUCCUAAAAGUGAUGAGCUGACCACAUAGAAACCCAGAAAAGCUCACAAGAAAUAAUGCAUUUCUCAUCGAUUUGGCUCUUAUAAAAUAAAUUUUGUCUGAAGGAGAGGAAAUGGUUCCAUUUCAUGCUGCUGGUGUUGACGAACAAGGUUUUCUUUCAAGGUGAAUGUGAAAUUCUCUUCUCUAAAUUUUAUUUUAUUUCGUUGUUGUCAUUUUUUUCAAGUGUUACUGAAGUAUAGUUGAUUUACAAUGCUGUGAUGAUUUCUGCUGUACAACAAGAAGUGAUUCAGUUAUACAGAUACACACAUCCAUUCUCUUUCAGAUUCUUUUCCCACAUAGAUUAACACAGAAUAUUGGAUAGAGUUCUCUGUGCUCUACAACAGGCCCCUGAAAAUUUUAUUUUAAUGAUCAACCUUAGGAGUUAUCCAUGGCGUGUAAAACAACAAUUAGGUCCAACUCGAUGAACAUAGUUUAUCAAAUGGCAGUUAUAAUCAUACAGUCGUUAUGCAGGUUAAACAGGAUAGCAUAUUUUAAAACGCCUAAUGAAGUAAGCGACCGAGAAGUCCUUGUUUCUUAGGACUAGUACUGCACGGAGGGUGCUGCCGCCUCUGUUUUGGGAAGAAAAGGGUACAAGGAUAUCAGCUGCAGUGGUAGAGGCUGUGCUUCCUCUGCGGUGAUGCACUGAAGGGGGACCCUGGUUUUACACUGUUAUUCAGGAAGCUGUUUUUACCUUUGCAGUGUCAUUCUAGCUCUCCUGUCCUGUUUCCCUCAAGCCAUUAUAUUUCUGAGACGUGACCUCUCUUGCUUUGGACCAGUCCCCUGCACCCAUCUUUUCAACAGGCAAGUCCCUGUGUGAGACACAAAGUGAAUAUACCUCAUCCUUCCCACCCCCUCAUUCUCUGGACCAAAGAAGACUUGUGUUUCCCACGUCACAGCCUGAUGGCUCCCCUUCAGUGUCUGCUUUUCCUCAGAAUUGUCCUAACACUGUGCCUGGCAGCCUGGGGCCUUGUGACAAGUGGCACUGGUCUCUUGCAUGGCAGGGUGAUGGUUGGUGGUGGGGCAUCUCCCCAGAGAAAUGGCAUGGUGCCGCUUUCCCCCAGAGCACACACCUGACUGUUCUGGAAAAGCAAGGAAGGACCGUGGCUUCCCCAAGUGUUUUCUGCCCAGCUUUGUCUAAUGCCGUCUCUUCCUACAGUAACCCCGGGGACCCUUUUCAUCCCAGAGUUUUAUUCCGAAUGGAAUGUUAAGAGGGUUCAGAUGCUGAGAGACAGGUCAGGGCGCUGGGGGUGGGGAGAGAGGUGUGAUCUUGUCCAGAUCUGUGGCUUUGUCAGAACUGUUUUUAAGUUGACACAGGGCUAAAUAAAAAGCCCCCUGGCUUUGAUCUCAGGGACUUCCUGGGUAGACUGUCUGAUUAGAUAAAGAUCACAUAUCCACCCCCUCCCCCCACCCCCAUCAUCCUUUAGACAGUAAUCUAAGCUCUGCAGCCAUUCCUCGUCCUGUGCUCCUGUCUCUUUCUCAAAGUAUCUCUCUGUCUCAGUGGGUCCCUUUCUGGGGCUUGGGUUUUUGUUUGAGCGGGAAAAGGAGCCUAAGAAAACAGAAUACUUCUUCUUUAAUUCAUCUUAAGUUGUUUAGAAACAAAGCAAAAGCUUUUUGUGAGAACCUCAUAUGGACCUCGUCUGGUCCUGGGCAUCAAAGGGGAUUUGGUCUCUGUUUGCAACAUGGUCAGCUGCUGGGAUGUUAUGAAGCAAAUGAGUUGGCAGGUGGAAGGUUUGGAGAGCUCCCUGCGCUGGGUUCAUCAGCCAAGACAAGAGGGUGUGAAGUGUGUGCAGAAGAGUCUUUUCUCUGGGACUCUUUAACCUAGGGCCGGUCGCCCAGGACAUACACCACAAACCAUCACUGAUGAUGAUGAUGAGGUGACUUGCUCUUGGGGGUGGGGGCAAUUUUCAGAAAUGCUUGAACUUAAAGAGCUGAUGCGGGUUUGAUUCCUGGCCUUUCUCAGUGGGCUAAGGAUCUGGCGUUGCCACAAGCUGUGGUGUAAGUCAUAGAUGCUGCUUGGAUCAGUGUUGCUGUGGCUGUGGUGUAGACUGGCAGCUGCAGCUCUGAUUUGACCC